This 240-nucleotide unclassified non-coding RNA is filed under the name soil metagenome. Its description in RNAcentral is "partial contains 5.8S ribosomal RNA, internal transcribed spacer 2, and large subunit ribosomal RNA". The record is from RNAcentral.
AACGCACGAGACCUGCGGACCUGCGGAAGGAUCAUUAAUGAGAAGCUGCCCCUCGCGGGUAGAUCUCCCACCCUUUGUAAACUUACCUUUGUUGCUUUGGCAGGCCCGUCUCCGGACCGCCGGCUUCGGCUGGCCAGUGCCUGCCAGAGGAUUCUAAAACUCUGUCUGUCAGUGUUGUCUGAGUCUAUAUACAAUCGUUAAAACUUUUAACAAUGGAUCUCUAGAUCGGAAGAGCACACG